GACACUGAACAUUGAGCCUUGAUGUGUAGGAUAGGUGGGAGGCUUUGAAGCGUGGACGCCAGUCUGCGUGGAGCCAACCUUGAAAUACCACCCUUUAAUGUUUGAUGUUCUAACGUUGGCCCCUGACCGGGGUUGCGGACAGUGUCUGGUGGGUAGUUUGACUGGGGCGGUCUCCUCCCAAAGCGUAACGGAGGAGCACGAAGGUUAGCUAAUCCUGGUCGGACAUCAGGAGGUUAGUGCAAUGGCAUAAGCUAGCUUGACUGCGAGCGUGACGGCGCGAGCAGGUGCGAAAGCAGGUCAUAGUGAUCCGGUGGUUCUGAAUGGAAGGGCCAUCGCUCAACGGAUAAAAGG
Molecule: ribosomal RNA, 351 nt
Filed under: Klebsiella pneumoniae
Lineage: Bacteria; Pseudomonadati; Pseudomonadota; Gammaproteobacteria; Enterobacterales; Enterobacteriaceae
Description: bacterial LSU rRNA
Rfam family: Bacterial large subunit ribosomal RNA
Source: RNAcentral